GAGCAGUGCGGUCCUUCCACACUGAACCUUGUUUAAAUGUAUUAACUUAUCCUGGCCUCCUUUCCUUUCUUUCUCCCUAUGUGUUCUAAAUGGAUUUUUAGCAAACCAUUUCAUGACUUCCUGGUAGUAUUUUUGGCAUUUUGAUAGCCUGAAAAGGCAUCAAGAUAAUUUCCAAAAAAAAAAAAAAAAAAAAAAAGAUAAUUUCCCACAGGAGGGUGGUAGAAAUUGGCUCUCAGGACCUUAGCGUGACCCCUGAUGAUUGUGCAUGAGAUCGCUUGUGGGCAAAUAUAAGUUGGGAGGUACUAUAAACAGAGAGACUCCUGUUUGCUGUUGGGCAAUAUUCUGGGGCUAGGGCCUCAGGAAGGAGGUUUCUGAUGAUAAUCCAUCUCUCUGGUCUGCUCCGGUAAUGAGGUAAAGACACACAAGAUAAGCUAAUCUAUCUAUCUAUCUAUCUAUCUAUCUAUCUAUCUAUCUAUCUAUCUAUUUAAUAUUUAAAGAUUGUAUUUAUUUAUUCAUAGAGACAGAGAAAGAGAGAGAGAGGCAGAGACACAGGCAGAGGGAGAAGCAGGCAUCAUACAGAGAGCCUGAUGUGGGACUCGAUCCAGGGUCUCCAGGAUCACGCCCUGGGCUGCAGGUGGCGCUAAACCUCUGCGCCACUGGGGCUGCCCAAGCUAAUCAAUUUAAAGACAUGAGGGCAGUUGCCCUGGUAGCUUCAAAAUCACUUCAGCUUUCCCUCAUCUUUCAUCAGAUGAACAGGUAGGUUAGUUUCAUAUUGUGAUUUUCUUACCUACUUUUUUCUGAUUCCCUCUGGUUUUUAUAGUGUGGCCUCUGAGACAGUUUUCUUAUGUUUUAAAAAUAAGUGUCUAUUAUAGAAUAUGUUCACUAAAAAUUGUCCAUGCUCAUUAGGUUUGGAAAACAAACGUAUAUAGAAAAAAAGAGAAAAAAGGCUAUAACCCCA
This 958-nucleotide long non-coding RNA is filed under the name Canis lupus familiaris (dog). RNAcentral's name for it is "lncRNA (ENSCAFG00000055819.1)". The record is from RNAcentral. Lineage: Eukaryota; Metazoa; Chordata; Mammalia; Carnivora; Canidae.